Molecule: ribosomal RNA, 2787 nt
Filed under: Escherichia coli
Lineage: Bacteria; Pseudomonadati; Pseudomonadota; Gammaproteobacteria; Enterobacterales; Enterobacteriaceae
Description: bacterial LSU rRNA
Rfam family: Bacterial large subunit ribosomal RNA
Source: RNAcentral
AGCGUACACGGUGGAUGCCCUGGCAGUCAGAGGCGAUGAAGGACGUGCUAAUCUGCGAUAAGCGUCGGUAAGGUGAUAUGAACCGUUAUAACCGGCGAUUUCCGAAUGGGGAAACCCAGUGUGUUUCGACACACUAUCAUUAACUGAAUCCAUAGGUUAAUGAGGCGAACCGGGGGAACUGAAACAUCUAAGUACCCCGAGGAAAAGAAAUCAACCGAGAUUCCCCCAGUAGCGGCGAGCGAACGGGGAGCAGCCCAGAGCCUGAAUCAGUGUGUGUGUUAGUGGAAGCGUCUGGAAAGGCGCGCGAUACAGGGUGACAGCCCCGUACACAAAAAUGCACAUGCUGUGAGCUCGAUGAGUAGGGCGGGACACGUGGUAUCCUGUCUGAAUAUGGGGGGACCAUCCUCCAAGGCUAAAUACUCCUGACUGACCGAUAGUGAACCAGUACCGUGAGGGAAAGGCGAAAAGAACCCCGGCGAGGGGAGUGAAAAAGAACCUGAAACCGUGUACGUACAAGCAGUGGGAGCACGCUUAGGCGUGUGACUGCGUACCUUUUGUAUAAUGGGUCAGCGACUUAUAUUCUGUAGCAAGGUUAACCGAAUAGGGGAGCCGAAGGGAAACCGAGUCUUAACUGGGCGUUAAGUUGCAGGGUAUAGACCCGAAACCCGGUGAUCUAGCCAUGGGCAGGUUGAAGGUUGGGUAACACUAACUGGAGGACCGAACCGACUAAUGUUGAAAAAUUAGCGGAUGACUUGUGGCUGGGGGUGAAAGGCCAAUCAAACCGGGAGAUAGCUGGUUCUCCCCGAAAGCUAUUUAGGUAGCGCCUCGUGAAUUCAUCUCCGGGGGUAGAGCACUGUUUCGGCAAGGGGGUCAUCCCGACUUACCAACCCGAUGCAAACUGCGAAUACCGGAGAAUGUUAUCACGGGAGACACACGGCGGGUGCUAACGUCCGUCGUGAAGAGGGAAACAACCCAGACCGCCAGCUAAGGUCCCAAAGUCAUGGUUAAGUGGGAAACGAUGUGGGAAGGCCCAGACAGCCAGGAUGUUGGCUUAGAAGCAGCCAUCAUUUAAAGAAAGCGUAAUAGCUCACUGGUCGAGUCGGCCUGCGCGGAAGAUGUAACGGGGCUAAACCAUGCACCGAAGCUGCGGCAGCGACGCUUAUGCGUUGUUGGGUAGGGGAGCGUUCUGUAAGCCUGUGAAGGUGUGCUGUGAGGCAUGCUGGAGGUAUCAGAAGUGCGAAUGCUGACAUAAGUAACGAUAAAGCGGGUGAAAAGCCCGCUCGCCGGAAGACCAAGGGUUCCUGUCCAACGUUAAUCGGGGCAGGGUGAGUCGACCCCUAAGGCGAGGCCGAAAGGCGUAGUCGAUGGGAAACAGGUUAAUAUUCCUGUACUUGGUGUUACUGCGAAGGGGGGACGGAGAAGGCUAUGUUGGCCGGGCGACGGUUGUCCCGGUUUAAGCGUGUAGGCUGGUUUUCCAGGCAAAUCCGGAAAAUCAAGGCUGAGGCGUGAUGACGAGGCACUACGGUGCUGAAGCAACAAAUGCCCUGCUUCCAGGAAAAGCCUCUAAGCAUCAGGUAACAUCAAAUCGUACCCCAAACCGACACAGGUGGUCAGGUAGAGAAUACCAAGGCGCUUGAGAGAACUCGGGUGAAGGAACUAGGCAAAAUGGUGCCGUAACUUCGGGAGAAGGCACGCUGAUAUGUAGGUGAAGUCCCUUGCGGAUGGAGCUGAAAUCAGUCGAAGAUACCAGCUGGCUGCAACUGUUUAUUAAAAACACAGCACUGUGCAAACACGAAAGUGGACGUAUACGGUGUGACGCCUGCCCGGUGCCGGAAGGUUAAUUGAUGGGGUCAGCGCAAGCGAAGCUCUUGAUCGAAGCCCCGGUAAACGGCGGCCGUAACUAUAACGGUCCUAAGGUAGCGAAAUUCCUUGUCGGGUAAGUUCCGACCUGCACGAAUGGCGUAAUGAUGGCCAGGCUGUCUCCACCCGAGACUCAGUGAAAUUGAACUCGCUGUGAAGAUGCAGUGUACCCGCGGCAAGACGGAAAGACCCCGUGAACCUUUACUAUAGCUUGACACUGAACAUUGAGCCUUGAUGUGUAGGAUAGGUGGGAGGCUUGGAAGUGUGGACGCCAGUCUGCAUGGAGCCGACCUUGAAAUACCACCCUUUAAUGUUUGAUGUUCUAACGUUGACCCGUAAUCCGGGUUGCGGACAGUGUCUGGUGGGUAGUUUGACUGGGGCGGUCUCCUCCUAAAGAGUAACGGAGGAGCACGAAGGUUGGCUAAUCCUGGUCGGACAUCAGGAGGUUAGUGCAAUGGCAUAAGCCAGCUUGACUGCGAGCGUGACGGCGCGAGCAGGUGCGAAAGCAGGUCAUAGUGAUCCGGUGGUUCUGAAUGGAAGGGCCAUCGCUCAACGGAUAAAAGGUACUCCGGGGAUAACAGGCUGAUACCGCCCAAGAGUUCAUAUCGACGGCGGUGUUUGGCACCUCGAUGUCGGCUCAUCACAUCCUGGGGCUGAAGUAGGUCCCAAGGGUAUGGCUGUUCGCCAUUUAAAGUGGUACGCGAGCUGGGUUUAGAACGUCGUGAGACAGUUCGGUCCCUAUCUGCCGUGGGCGCUGGAGAACUGAGGGGGGCUGCUCCUAGUACGAGAGGACCGGAGUGGACGCAUCACUGGUGUUCGGGUUGUCAUGCCAAUGGCACUGCCCGGUAGCUAAAUGCGGAAGAGAUAAGUGCUGAAAGCAUCUAAGCACGAAACUUGCCCCGAGAUGAGUUCUCCCUGACUCCUUGA